CGAGCGGACAGAUGGGAGCUUGCUUCCCUGAUGUUAGCGGCGGACGGGUGAGUAACACGUGGGUAACCUGCCCUGUAAGACUGGGAUAACUCCGGGAAACCGGGGCUAAUACCGGAUGGUUGUUUGAACCGCAUGGUUCAGACAUAAAAGGUGGCUUCGGCUACCACUUACAGAUGGACCCGCGGCGCAUUAGCUAGUUGGUGAGGUUAACGGGUGACCAAGGCGACGAUGCGUAGCCGAACCUGAGAGGGUGAUCGGCCACACUGGGACUGAGACACGGCCCAGACUCCUACGGGAGGCAGCAGUAGGGAAUCUUCCGCAAUGGACGAAAGUCUGACGGAGCAACGCCGCGUGAGGUGAUGAAGGUUUUCGGAUCGUAAAGCUCUGUUGUUAGGGAAGAACAAGUGCGGUUCAAAUAGGGCGGCACCUUGACGGUACCUAACCAGAAAGCCACGGCUAACUACGUGCCAGCAGCCGC
RNAcentral lists this ribosomal RNA (478 nucleotides) under uncultured bacterium. RNAcentral describes it as "bacterial SSU rRNA". It matches the Rfam family "Bacterial small subunit ribosomal RNA", at positions 63 to 518 of the family's 1533-position model. The record is from RNAcentral.